Molecule: non-coding RNA, 136 nt
Organism: Brachypodium distachyon (stiff brome)
Lineage: Eukaryota; Viridiplantae; Streptophyta; Magnoliopsida; Poales; Poaceae
Source: Rfam
AAACUACUCCCUCUGUCCAACAAAGGAUGUCUCAACUUUGAUCAAAUUUGAAUGCAUUUAUAUAUUAAGUCAUAUCUAAAUACAUCCAAAUUUUGACAAACUUGAGACAUCUUUUAUUGGACGGAGGGAGUACCAA